UUGUAGCCAACUAAGAUGAUCAUUGCUCUCUUCAUGGGAGCCUGAUGAGCAUCGGUUGCAAACACUAAUCUCCAUGAUAGUAUCCACCGCCUGCUGACAAUAUGGGUUGCCCUAAGAGACCUUGGAGACAAAU
Small nucleolar RNA from Grammomys surdaster, 133 nucleotides. RefSeq annotates it as small nucleolar RNA SNORA70. NCBI's taxonomy places the organism in Eukaryota, Metazoa, Chordata, Mammalia, Rodentia, Muridae. The record is from RefSeq and is a predicted model, not a curated record. The transcript has a single exon.